This 85-nucleotide ribosomal RNA is filed under the name Staphylococcus aureus. Its description in RNAcentral is "partial 23S ribosomal RNA". It matches the Rfam family "Bacterial large subunit ribosomal RNA", at positions 2840 to 2925 of the family's 2925-position model. Lineage: Bacteria; Bacillati; Bacillota; Bacilli; Caryophanales; Staphylococcaceae. The record is from RNAcentral.
AAAGAUGAUGAGGUUAAUAGGUUCGAGGUGGAAGCAUGGUGACAUGUGUAGCUGACGAAUACUAAUCGAUCGAAGACUUAAUCAA